GGCGCGCCUCGGGCAGGGCAGCCGCCCCGCUCGGCGCCCGGCGGCGGCGGCUGCGCGGGGACGGAUUUGGCGUCCCGCUUCCUAGUCUCAGCGGCGGGAAGGAGGUCCCGUGGUGAGAGACUGCGCACGCGCCGUCCGUCGGGGGCUUCAUAGCUAGCCGGACUGGCGGCUCCGCCUCUGAUUUCUCGGCUUUCUGCUCCGAGCGGAGAAGCUAGUCACGAGUUUCCCGUCACCGACGGGGCGGAGAAAGUCCUUGUGAUUGUCACAGGAUGUAGUUCUGCGGAGUCCUGGCCUUAGGUCGGGUGCGAGGAAUGGAGGCUCCUGGGUUAGUUUUGCAAAGUCCAAGGCACGCUUUUCGGGGUUCCCGGGGGUCUUUAGGGCACGACCCUCGCCCGUGGAGGGAGAAACGGAGGCCAAGUUUGUGGUCCACGGAAGGAACGCUGAAUCUGCAGCCGGUCGAGGCUGUGAUUUAUGCGGCUCAAAGUGAUGACAGCGCCCGGCUUUAAAAAAGCCGAAGUCAAGUUCCGAGAGGUUUAAUGAGGGUGAUGGUGAUGGUUUUAGGCUCCUGGAACUUCAGGCUCGCGGAACGGGAGAUCCUUUGAAGGGAAGCACAGCCUGGGGCUGCGGGUCUCAGCCGGCGGCAAGUCAGGGGCCCUGAGUGCACCUAUGGGUGACACCACUCCCUCUGGAUUAAGCCCAGGAAAGGGCGGGUCCAGCUUCUAAACCUUGACAGCCUGGUUCCAGAAAUCUGGUGGUUUGUUACCUAUAUAAGUUCUUCACGCCCUUUCAAGCCUACUCAAAUCUUCUCUAUUCCUGGAGGAACCAAACUUGUACCAUGAAGAAUUUAUUCUUGUGGGUUUCACAACCCCUUUCUCCUGUUGUCUUUAAAACGCCGCCUCGCCUAAGAGUGGCAUACUGUGAACUCCUUCCACGUUGGUGUGACGCGCCUUAGUCAGAGGUGGAGCACUGGAAACAUUGGAUUUGGAAAUUACAAGUUCUGGGUGGGAAUUGGCGCUUUGCCACUGGCGAUGAGACUUUGGGCAAGUUUUCUAAACAUCUGUGAAACUUCCUUUUUUUUUUUUUUUUAAAUAAAAUGGGUUUAAUUAUGUCUGCCUCACCCAGUAGUGAGUCAACCACAUGAUGCUGAUGUUACUAAUAAUAAUGAUUAAAGUCCGAC
Molecule: long non-coding RNA, 1177 nt
Filed under: Marmota monax (woodchuck)
Lineage: Eukaryota; Metazoa; Chordata; Mammalia; Rodentia; Sciuridae
Source: RNAcentral